AAUCGCACGAAUGGAAAUGUGCGUCCAAGCAGUGAGUGUGAGAAGUAGGCAAAUCCGCUUCUCGCGAAGCAUGAGCUGUGAUGGGGAAGGAAAUUAAGUACGGAAGUUCCUGAUUUCACGCUGUCAAGAAAAGCCUCUAGGAAGAGUAGUACUGCCCGUACCGCAAACCGACACAGGUAGAUGAGGAGAGAAUCCUAAGGUGAGCGAGAGAACUCUCGUUAAGGAACUCGGCAAAAUGACCCCGUAACUUCGGGAGAAGGGGUGCUCUAUUAGGGUGCAAGCCCGAGAGAGCCGCAGUGAAUAGGCCCAGGCGACUGUUUAGCAAAAACACAGGUCUCUGCAAAACCGUAAGGUGACGUAUAGGGGCUGACGCCUGCCCGGUGCUGGAAGGUUAAGAGGAGUGCUUAGCUUCGGCGAAGGUACGAAUUGAAGCCCCAGUAAACGGCGGCCGUAACUAUAACGGUCCUAAGGUAGCGAAAUUCCUUGUCGGGUAAGUUCCGACCCGCACGAAAGGCGCAACGAUCUGGGCACUGUCUCAACGAGAGACUCGGUGAAAUUAUAGUACCUGUGAAGAUGCAGGUUACCCGCGACAGGACGGAAAGACCCCGUGGAGCUUUACUGCAACCUGAUAUGGAAUGUUUGUACCGCUUGUACAGGAUAGGUAGGAGCCGAAGAGACGUGUGCGCUAGCAUACGAGGAGGCAAUGGUGGGAUACUACCCUGGCUGUAUGACCAUUCUAACCCGCCACGCUUAGCGCGUGGGGAGACAGUGUCAGGUGGGCAGUUUGACUGGGGCGGUCGCCUCCUAAAGAGUAACGGAGGCGCCCAAAGGUUCCCUC
RNAcentral lists this ribosomal RNA (838 nucleotides) under Listeria monocytogenes. RNAcentral's name for it is "partial 23S ribosomal RNA". It matches the Rfam family "Bacterial large subunit ribosomal RNA", at positions 1488 to 2323 of the family's 2925-position model. The record is from RNAcentral. Lineage: Bacteria; Bacillati; Bacillota; Bacilli; Caryophanales; Listeriaceae.